RNAcentral lists this ribosomal RNA (440 nucleotides) under uncultured bacterium. RNAcentral's name for it is "bacterial SSU rRNA". It matches the Rfam family "Bacterial small subunit ribosomal RNA", at positions 959 to 1397 of the family's 1533-position model. The record is from RNAcentral.
ACGCGCGGAACCUUACCAGGUCUUGACAUCCUCUGACACUCCUAGAGAUAGGACGUUCCCCUUCGGGGGACAGAGUGACAGGUGGUGCAUGGUUGUCGUCAGCUCGUGUCGUGAGAUGUUGGGUUAAGUCCCGCAACGAGCGCAACCCUUGAUCUUAGUUGCCAGCAUUUCGGAUGGGCACUCUAAGGUGACUGCCGGUGACAAACCGGAGGAAGGUGGGGAUGACGUCAAAUCAUCAUGCCCCUUAUGACCUGGGCUACACACGUGCUACAAUGGAUGGUACAAAGGGCAGCAAAACCGCGAGGUCGAGCAAAUCCCAUAAAACCAUUCUCAGUUCGGAUUGUAGGCUGCAACUCGCCUGCAUGAAGCUGGAAUCGCUAGUAAUCGCGGAUCAGCAUGCCGCGGUGAAUACGUUCCCGGGCCUUGCACACACCGCCCGU